This 90-nucleotide unclassified non-coding RNA is filed under the name Pseudomonas arsenicoxydans. The record is from RNAcentral. Lineage: Bacteria; Pseudomonadati; Pseudomonadota; Gammaproteobacteria; Pseudomonadales; Pseudomonadaceae.
UGUGGGAGCGGGCUUGCCCGCGAUGAGGCCGGCACAUCCAACAUUGAUGUUGGCUGAUGAUCCGCCAUCGCGGGCAAGCCCGCUCCCACA